GAUGAACGCUGGCGGCGUGCCUAAUACAUGCAAGUCGAGCGAACGGACGAGAAUCUUGCUUCUCUGAUGUUAGCGGCGGACGGGUGAGUAACACGUGGAUAACCUACCUAUAAGACUGGGAUAACUUCGGGAAACCGUAGCUAAUACCGGAUAAUAUUUUGAACCGCAUGGUUCAAAAGUGAAAGACGGUCUUGCUGUCACUUAUAGAUGGAUCCGCGCUGCAUUAGCUAGUUGGUAAGGUAACGGCUUACCAAGGCAACGAUGCAUAGCCGACCUGAGAGGGUGAUCGGCCACACUGGAACUGAGACACGGUCCAGACGCCUACGGGAGGCAGCAGUAGGGAAUCUUCCGCAAUGGGCGAAAGCCUGACGGAGCAACGCCGCGUGAGUGAUGAAGGUCUUCGGAUCGUAAAACUCUGUUAUUAGGGAAGAACAUAUGUGUAAGUAACUGUGCACAUCUUGACGGUACCUAAUCAGAAAGCCACGGCUAACUACGUG
RNAcentral lists this ribosomal RNA (497 nucleotides) under uncultured bacterium. Its description in RNAcentral is "partial 16S ribosomal RNA". It matches the Rfam family "Bacterial small subunit ribosomal RNA", at positions 28 to 507 of the family's 1533-position model. The record is from RNAcentral.